This 259-nucleotide ribosomal RNA is filed under the name uncultured bacterium. Its description in RNAcentral is "partial small subunit ribosomal RNA". It matches the Rfam family "Bacterial small subunit ribosomal RNA", at positions 26 to 285 of the family's 1533-position model. The record is from RNAcentral.
AGAUUGAACGCUGGCGGCGUGCCUAACACAUGCAAGUCGAGCGGUAACAGGUGUAGCAAUACAUGCUGACGAGCGGCGAACGGGUGAGUAAUGCUUUGGAAUCUUCCCAGUAGUGGGGAAUAACCAGUCGAAAGAUUGGCUAAUACCGCAUACGUCUGUAAAGGGAAAGCGGGGGCUCGUAAGACCUCGCGCUAUUGGAUGAGCCAAAGUCGGAUUAGCUAGUUGGCGAGGUAAUGGCCCACCAAGGCAAUGAUCGGUA